UGGCUCAGAACGAACGCUGGCGGCAGGCCUAACACAUGCAAGUCGAGCGCCCCGCAAGGGGAGCGGCAGACGGGAGAGUAACACGUGGGAACGUGCCCUUCAGUUCGGAACAACCCAGGGAAACUUGGGCUAAUACCGGAUACGUCCGUAAGGAGAAAGAUUUAUCGCUGAAGGAUCGGCCCGCGUCUGAUUAGCUAGUUGGUGAGGUAAUGGCUCACCAAGGCUACGAUCAGUAGCUGGUCUGAGAGGAUGAUCAGCCACACUGGGACUGAGACACGGCCCAGACUAAUACGGGAGGCAGCAGUGG
This 307-nucleotide ribosomal RNA is filed under the name uncultured Hyphomicrobiales bacterium. RNAcentral's name for it is "bacterial SSU rRNA". It matches the Rfam family "Bacterial small subunit ribosomal RNA", at positions 20 to 357 of the family's 1533-position model. The record is from RNAcentral. Lineage: Bacteria; Pseudomonadati; Pseudomonadota; Alphaproteobacteria; Hyphomicrobiales.